RNAcentral lists this ribosomal RNA (274 nucleotides) under uncultured bacterium. RNAcentral's name for it is "partial 16S ribosomal RNA". The record is from RNAcentral.
CUGCUGCCUUCCGUAGGAGUCUGGGCCGUGUCUCAGUCCCAGUGUGGGGGGCCUUCCUCUCAGAACCCCUACGCAUCGUCGCCACGGUGGGCCGUUACCCCGCCGUCUAGCUAAUGCGCCGCAUGCCCAUCCGCCACCGGAUCGCUCCUUUGGCCACCGGAGGAUGCCCUCCGGUGGCGUCACGGGGUAUUAGGCCGCGUUUCCGCGGGUUAUCCCCCUGUGGCGGCCAGGUUGCAUACGUGUUACUCACCCGUGCGCCGGUCGCCGGCGGGCG